AUUUUCUUCGGAAAAUUAUUAAACUGGCGAACGGGUGAGUAACACGUAGGUAACCUGCCUUGAAGAUUGGGAUAACUCCGGGAAACCGGAGCUAAUACCGAAUAAUGCAGCGAAUCCAUAGGGAUAUGUUGUUAAAGCGGGCUUCGGCUCGCACUUCGAGAUGGGCCUGCGGCCGAUUAGCUUGUUGGUGAGGUAAUGGCUCACCAAGGCGAUGAUCGGUAGCUGGUCUGAGAGGAUGAUCAGCCACACUGGGAUUGAGAUACGGCCCAGACUCCUACGGGAGGCAGCAGUGGGGAAUUUUGCGCAAUGGACGAAAGUCUGACGCAGCAACGCCGCGUGAUUGAUGAAGCUUUUAGGAGUGUAAAGAUCUGUCGUGAGGGAAGAAAAACCUGGAUGUAAAUAAUGUUCAGGCGUGACGGUACCUCACAAGAAAGCACCGGCUAACUUCGUGCCAGCAGCCGCGGUAAUACGAGGGGUGCUAGCGUUGUCCGGAAUUACUGGGCGUAAAGGGUCCGUAGGCGUCUUGACAAGUUGAUCGUUAAAUCCACCGGCUUAACCGGUGAUCUGCGGUCAAAACUUGCAGGAUAGAAUAUGUGAGAGGAAAGUAGAAUUCCUGGUGUAGCGGUGACAUGCGUAGAUAUCAGGAGGAACACCAAUGGCGAAGGCAGCUUUCUGGCACAAUAUUGACGCUGAGGGACGAAAGCGUGGGGAGCGAACAGGAUUAGAUACCCUGGUAGUCCACGCCGUAAACGAUGAGUACUUGGUGGUGGGAGAUUCGACCCUCUCACUAUCGGAGCUAACGCNUAA
This 807-nucleotide ribosomal RNA is filed under the name uncultured Fidelibacterota bacterium. Its description in RNAcentral is "SSU rRNA". It matches the Rfam family "Bacterial small subunit ribosomal RNA", at positions 73 to 862 of the family's 1533-position model. Lineage: Bacteria; Pseudomonadati; Fidelibacterota. The record is from RNAcentral.